Notolabrus celidotus (New Zealand spotty) is the source of this 601-nucleotide long non-coding RNA. RefSeq lists it as uncharacterized. The record is from RefSeq and is a predicted model, not a curated record. NCBI's taxonomy places the organism in Eukaryota, Metazoa, Chordata, Actinopteri, Labriformes, Labridae. The transcript is spliced from 2 exons.
CUGAAUCCCCUGUGUUUCCAGGUUAGUUACUUUCUGCCCUUGUGUUUCCCUCCUUGUUGAUUAACCUCAUUACUUUCACCUGGGUCCUGUGCUCAACACCUGUGUUAAUUACUCUGUGUAUUUAGUUCCUCUGUUUCCCCUGUCUCUUGUCAGGUCAUUGUAUGUCUACCUAGCCGCAUGUGGCUGUGUCCUCGUGUUUCUGUGUUCGAGCUGUUUCUGUGUUUUCUGUGUUUUUGUUCUAAAAGAGUCCCCUUGGAUGGGGACUCGGUUGGUCAUUUUUCCUGGCAACCGUGGUGGCCAAAGGUGGAGAUGUGGGAGACAGGACCCCCCUAGUCGUCUCCGGCCCCUUUCUCGCUCGGAGGUCCUACCGCGGCCCCUUCCUCGCUUGGAGGUCCUUCCGACGCCCCUGCUUUGCUAGGAGGUCCUGCCGACGCCCAUUCCUCGCUCAUAGGUCCUGCCGAUGCCUGUGCCUGCUCCCCAGAGGGCGACCACUGUUCCUGCACUUCCUGUCCUCGUGCUUCUGUGUUCGACCUGUUUGUGUUUCCUGUGUUUUUGUUCUAAAGUAAGUUUUGUUAUUAAAUUCUUUAUUUUUUAAUCUGCA